RNAcentral lists this ribosomal RNA (391 nucleotides) under uncultured bacterium. RNAcentral's name for it is "bacterial SSU rRNA". It matches the Rfam family "Bacterial small subunit ribosomal RNA", at positions 99 to 524 of the family's 1533-position model. The record is from RNAcentral.
CGGACGGGUGAGUAACGCGUGGGAACGUGCCCUUUGGUUCGGAACAACACAGGGAAACUUGUGCUAAUACCGAAUGUGCCCUUCGGGNGGAAAGAUUUAUCGCCAUUGGAGCGGCCCGCGUUGGACUAGCUAGUUGGUGGGGUAAAGGCCUACCAAGGCUACGAUCCAUAGCUGGUCUGAGAGGAUGAUCAGCCACACUGGGACUGAGACACGGCCCAGACUCCUACGGGAGGCAGCAGUAGGGAAUCUUGCGCAAUGGGCGAAAGCCUGACGCAGCCAUGCCGCGUGAAUGAUGAAGGUCUUAGGAUUGUAAAAUUCUUUCACCGGGGAAGAUAAUGACGGUACCCGGAGAAGAAGCCCCGGCUAACUUCGUGCCAGCAGCCGCGGUAAU